CGGCCAGACUCCUACGGGAGGCAGCAGUGAGGAAUAUUGGUCAAUGGGCGGGAGCCUGAACCAGCCAAGUCGCGUGAGGGAAGAAGGUACUGAGUAUUGUAAACCUCUUUUGCCAGGGGACAAAGGCGGCCACGGGUGGCCGUAAGAGGGUACCUGGAGAAAAAGCAUCGGCUAACUCCGUGCCAGCAGCCGCGGUAAUACGGAGGAUGCGAGCGUUAUCCGGAUUUAUUGGGUUUAAAGGGUGCGUAGGCGGUAUUUUAAGUUAGUGGUAAAACGUCGGGGCUUCACCUUGAUUGGCCAUUAAAACUGGAGUACUAGAGUACAGACGAGGUAGGCGGAAUAAGUUAAGUAGCGGUGAAAUGCUUAGAUAUAACUUAGAACCCCGAUAGCGAAGGCAGCUUACCAGACUGUUACUGACGCUGAAGCACGAGAGCGUGGGUAGCGAACAGGAUUAGAUACCCGAGUAC
RNAcentral lists this ribosomal RNA (467 nucleotides) under uncultured bacterium. RNAcentral describes it as "partial 16S ribosomal RNA". It matches the Rfam family "Bacterial small subunit ribosomal RNA", at positions 328 to 793 of the family's 1533-position model. The record is from RNAcentral.